Molecule: long non-coding RNA, 850 nt
Organism: Scatophagus argus
Lineage: Eukaryota; Metazoa; Chordata; Actinopteri; Scatophagidae
Exons: 3
Source: RefSeq, a predicted model, not a curated record
AUGAAUGGACACGCUCUGUUGUUGGAACAAAAAUAAAACAUUGUAUGGCACAGUGGAGACGCGUGAACUCAUUCAUGAUCAAGAAAGGAAAGUGGGACAACUUAGCGCGUCAGAAAGGUCGCUCCGGGGUCAAACCCCUCAGUAGCUGAUAGUAGACUAAGCUCCUAUAACAUUAGUCAAAAAACCUAGCAACGUUGGAUCCUUUUUGGAAACGUUCGGCACGGACCGGAGGCGUCACAGGAGGAGAGCGGCUGCCAGGCGUUUGAUCUGCUACCCGGAGGAUGUUGCAGUUUCGUGGCUGUUAUGCACAGGGGCUACGGUGCGAAGGCUAAAGCGGCUAACAAGCAUCGGAUCAGCUGAUCACCGCCCGGCGCCCAACGCGUAAGGAACAAGUGUCAUGCCCAGAGCAAGUCAUCCCACCUAACUGCUGCCUCCUGGUCUUCCAUCUGCAGUGCAUCUUAGGCUGCCAUAGGCUGAGCCAUGAUCACACCUGAUGUUUAACAGCAUCGCCUCCUCAUCAAUAUGCCUAAUGAGAUCCCAUGAGAGGUUCCAAAGGAUAUGCCAGUCUGGUGUCCCUCAGGGUUGGACAUGGGAGCUUUGCCUGUACUCUCAAGGACACUGGGCUCAGCAUGACCAUACAGUAACCUUUUUAUGUAUUCUAAUUACUCUAAGGACUGUUCUGGCACCCUUUCUUAGACUGGCACAUAAUGAUAUCCCACUUCAACAUCUGUAGAUUAAUUAGCACAUGCUGGGGGAACUCCACUGGUUUAGUGACAUUAUCAUUGAAACUCAUAAUGAAAUAUGUAAUUGUAGUCAAAAUCGAGGAUAUUAGAAUUAACAAGUUGUUAGA